GACGAAGGGGGCUAGCGUUGUUCGGAAUUACUGGGCGUAAAGCGAGUGUAGGCGGUUGGCCAAGUCAGGUGUGAAAGCCUUGAGCUCAACUCAAGAAAUGCACUUGGUACUGGGUGGCUAGAGGACCGGAGAGGAUAGUGGAAUUCCCAGUGUAGUGGUGAAAUACGUAGAGAUUGGGAAGAACACCAGUGGCGAAGGCGGCUAUCUGGACGGUUACUGACGCUAAGACUCGAAAGCGUGGGGAGCAAACAGG
RNAcentral lists this ribosomal RNA (253 nucleotides) under uncultured bacterium. Its description in RNAcentral is "partial 16S ribosomal RNA". It matches the Rfam family "Bacterial small subunit ribosomal RNA", at positions 524 to 776 of the family's 1533-position model. The record is from RNAcentral.